This 401-nucleotide ribosomal RNA is filed under the name Ochthebius minimus. RNAcentral's name for it is "partial 12S ribosomal RNA". The record is from RNAcentral. Lineage: Eukaryota; Metazoa; Arthropoda; Insecta; Coleoptera; Hydraenidae.
UAAACUAGGAUUAGAUACCCUAUUAUUAUAAAUGUAAAUUAAAAAAAAUCUAAUUACUAAUAGUUAUUAUCUUUAAAAUUAAAAAUUUUGGCGGUAUUUUAGUCUUUUCAGAGGAACCUGUUCUAUAAUUGAUAGUCCACGAUUAAUUCUACUUAUUUUAAUAAUUUAUAUAUCAUCGUAGGUUGAAUAUUUUAUAAGAAUAAUAAUAUUCAAAAUUUAUAAUAAUAAAAAAAAUCAGAUCAAGGUAUAGUUUAUAAAUAUGAAGAAAUGGGUUACAAUAAAAUUAUUUAUAUGGAUUAAAUAAUUAAAUUUAUUUAUAAAAGUGGAUUUGAAAGUAAUUUUAUUAAUUUAAAUAAAAUGAUUAAAGCUCUAAAAUAUGCACACAUCGCCCGUCGCUCUUA